AUUUUGCACAGCCUAUCUAUUUACCCAGUUUUUAUUUUUACACUGAACAAUUCCUUUAAAGGUCAAAUAGGGUAGAAUUUGGGCAGAACACUUUUUUGCUGCCCGUAAUACAACAGCUUUAUUAUGAGCUAUGGGGAAGGGUGCCAUACAAAUACUGAACUUAAAAUUAGGGUUUGAAAUAGCAACUGGAGCAUAAUUCUCCCCCACACCCUAUUCCACCAUCAGUGUGUAUUUGCUUGGCAUGUGCUUUGUACUUACUACCCAGGAAGCAACAUAUUUGUUUUGUACCAUUUACUGGACAUUGGUCACCAAGAAAGGGAGAAAGGGAUUGUGCUCAAGGGUUUUUUGCUGUUAAAUACUUAUGUAAUGACACCUUAGGUAAUAAAUCCAGAUCUCAGAGUGUUAUUUUGUUUCUUGGGCAGUUAUGGUGCAAUUGUCACACCCAGAGGAGAACAGCUUGGCAAGGCUGCAGGAGGUGGUAGAACUGCAACUGGCAUGUGGUACCUGCUGCUGGAAGAAAUAUCUUGUUACAUACACCCUGGUUCCGUGCCAGCAUACUUGUGGUGCUCAACUUCUCUUGGCUAAAUCUAAGAGUGCCAGGGAGGAGUGGUAUGAGAUCAGACGAUUCCCCGUAUUACCUAUGCCAGCCCGAUAUGAGGUGUGUUGGCAUUACCCGUCGAGAACUGGGUGCAUUCGGCACCAUCAGAAUUGCACCUUCUCCUGGAAUGAGCAAGAGACGUUGAUCUGGUCCUUUGAACGGAAACAUAUUUGGAAAGGAGCCAACUGCGGGCACUUCUGCAGCCCACCCAAUACUCUGACACUGUCCUCCAUGUCCCCAGCAGCUGGCAGGACAUCUUUAAUGAAUAUGGAGUGCAGUUCCAGUAAGUGUGUGAGCAGUGCUUUUAUCAGAGUACCCCCAUGGUCACCCUGAGAUCAUUGGGCCAAUCUCACCCCCGGCCUAUGCCCCUCCUGAUGCACAUUCUGAUUUAUGAGACUAAGAAGCAGUGCAAUCCUAUCCACCACAUGCCAAGCUCCCAGCACAUAUGCCUCUGCAGCCAGUCCUCCCGUGGGCUCAUUUGCAGGACAGCAGUGCCCUAAAGCACACAGUGAGGUGGAACUGGCUGUUUGGAGGGCAGAGUGGGAUGCUGGACUUACCCGGGAGGAGCUAUUCGGGCAAGGUACAAUAAAUAUGGGUUUCUACUGCUGUUUGUGCCGAGUCAGUGCCAUCUCCAAGGAGAGCUUUGAGAUGCACUGCUCCAGCCUGGAACAUGGCAGAAUGAUGGCAUCAGAUUCACUAAGUAUGUGGAAUUACCGAGCUCCCCCUCUGGGCAAAGACAGCUUCACCCUGUGCAACAGAUAGCCUUUCUGGUUCCAUGAUUCAAGAAGGCUUUGAGCUGGCUACAGCAAAAAGGGCCAAGGAGUGCCAGGAGUUUGAGAAGUGCUUGGCAGAGAUGGAAGUUUAAAAGAGCCUUUUGGAAGAAGAGACCCGAAAGCAACGGGAAGAGGAAGAAGAUCAAUCAGCUGAGGCAAGAGCUGGUGCACAAGGCACAGCCUAUCAGGAAGUUCAAAGCUGUGGAAGUUAAAACCAGUGACGUCCCACUUACUGUCCCCACAUCCCCUAACUUCUCAGACAGGUUUAAGUGCUGAUGUGCUCCCUGUACUAAGGCAAAUCCAGAUUUCGGGUGGUGGUUACCUAUUCAUGCCCUGGACCAUACAGUCUAUUGUACAAACAAGUGUCCUUUAAAUAGUGGCAUGAAUCCGUGCACAGCUCUGCUCAUUGGGGGGUUUAUGUAAAUACUAUAUUAUAUGGCCUGGAGGGGACUGUUUUUAGGUCUCCCUGUAUGCGAAUACUUAUGCUUUUAUUAUGCCCUGUAAUAAACUGUAGAAAUGUAAAGUUUGUCAAUUGCCUGAUUAACUUUUGUCUUGGGUUUGUCUGGUUCCUUCCAUCAGUCAACUGCACAUGUAGCCAUGUUAGUCACGUAUCUAAGGGAGCUUGUUUUUCCCGAUGCAGCUCAGGUAGUGUGAUGGGCAGUUGCAUCCAGUAAGAGCCAGCGCAGUGUGGCUUUCAGUAGUGCUGCACAUGGUCUGCCUCUUGUAGGGGGAUGCCUUAUAUAUGACAUAUCUUCCAUACCUCCCUAAGAUGCAGAUAACCUAAUGAAUGACCUAGAAUUCAGCCCACAUGCCUUUCUAUGAUGUACCCCACUUUGAGAGAAUUGCAUUGUCCUGCUCUUAUAUCUGAACAGAAGGUACCAGAAGGCUUUUAUCUGGCACACACACACAAUUCAUCUGGGGCAUAUAAAGCAGAGGAGGUGUCAUCCCUGGGAACUUGAUGGGUUGGUGCGAACUUUCUGCUUGGAAAGGUCACUACCUGUGAAAUAGAACGUGAAGCUCUGGGGCACAAUUAG
Molecule: long non-coding RNA, 2405 nt
Organism: Xenopus laevis (African clawed frog)
Lineage: Eukaryota; Metazoa; Chordata; Amphibia; Anura; Pipidae
Exons: 3
Source: RefSeq, a predicted model, not a curated record